GUUUUUAUAGUGUAACCUUAAACAUAUUACAUUUUCACUGUAAAGCUAAAGAAUAAUUCUUUUAAAAAUA
RNAcentral lists this transfer RNA (70 nucleotides) under Pagurus lanuginosus. RNAcentral's name for it is "tRNA-Glu". Lineage: Eukaryota; Metazoa; Arthropoda; Malacostraca; Decapoda; Paguridae. The record is from RNAcentral.